AGAUUGAACGCUGGCGGCAUGCCUUACACAUGCAAGUCGAACGGCAGCACGGGAGCAAUCCAGGUGGCGAGUGGCGAACGGGUGAGUAAUACAUCGGAACGUGCCCAAUCGUGGGGGGAUAACGCAGCGAAAGCUGUGCUAAUACCGCAUAAGAUCUACGGAUGAAAGCAGGGGAUCGCAAGACCUUGCGCGAAUGGAGCGGCCGAUGGCAGAUUAGGUAGUUGGUGAGGUAAAGGCUCACCAAGCCUUCGAUCUGUAGCUGGUCUGAGAGGACGACCAGCCACACGUGGGACUGAGACACGGCCCAGACCCUACGGGAGCAGCAGGUGGGAAUUUGGACAAGUGGGACGAAAGCCUGACUCCAGCCAGUGCCGCGUGCAGGAUGAAGGCCGUUACGGUUGUAAC
RNAcentral lists this ribosomal RNA (405 nucleotides) under uncultured soil bacterium. RNAcentral describes it as "bacterial SSU rRNA". It matches the Rfam family "Bacterial small subunit ribosomal RNA", at positions 26 to 429 of the family's 1533-position model. The record is from RNAcentral.